GAUUGGCCUCGCGCAGCGCCGGGCCCGCCCCCUCCUCCUGGCCUCUCGGUGCUCGUGCCCCUCCCGGCGACGCCUGUGAUUGGUGGGGGCGCGCACGCAGCCCCACCCCGCGCACGCUCUCCGUACCGCCCCCGCCGCGACCUGAGGAGGGGGUGCUGUCGGCUGGGACCGCGACCCCUGCCCACUUUAGCCGGGGACCGAGACUCCCGCCCCCGGCCUCAUCCCGGGACCCCGACCCCGUCACCCCGGGAUCGCGACCCCCGUCCACCUCGGCCCAAGACCCCGACCCCUCCCUCCCCUCAUCCCGGGACCGGACCCUCCCCGGGGCCUUCUGGCCAUCCGGGUGGUCGGGUCAGGAGAGCCCCCUGAGCGCGCCCGGGAAAAGGGAGAAGGCGGCGUCGCCUGUCCGUGGAGCGGGUGCCCUGGGCCGCUCGUCGGCCAACUCCGUUCUCCGCGGUUUCAGGGGAAAUGCUGAAGACUCGGGAUGUCUUCCCAAACCCGAGCAUGUGCCACCCACCCGACCCAUUCUAUGGGGAGGAAAAACAAAAGUAAAGUAUGACUGAGGAAAGGCCAAGUAAAGACAGGGCAAGAAGGCGGCCAGGAAGAGGGCUUCACCGGAAACUGAAUUGGCUAGAACCUUGAUCUUGGACUGCUAGCCUCCAGAACUGCAUGGAAAAAAUAUGACUCGGUUCUAUCCGCAGUACAAGUGGCAGAGGCUCUGUGGUUCUCUGUGUAGCAGAUGGUCUGUGAGUGACCCACACGUUCCAAUCAGAGGGUGUUAGACCUCGGCCAUGGUUAGUGGUGGUGCACACUGAGAUACCAGGAGCUGGGGAGGAAGUCUGUGACUCGGUAGAACCAAGAAGGAAGUAGGCUGUGGGCUUGGAAGGGGAGGUUAAGAAGUCUCAGAUUUUCUUGAUUGACUGAGGAAUAGUGGUUUCUUCUUUAAAUGUAAAAAGCUCCCAGAACAUGAGGGCUUGCCUGGUAGCGCAGUGGUUGAAAGUCCGACUGCCGAUGCAGGGGAUGCGGGUUCAUGCCCCGGUCCUGGAAGAUCCCGCGUGCCACGGAGCAGCUGCGCCUGUGAGCCAUGGCCGCUGAGUCUGCGGGUCCGGAGCCUGUGCUCCACAA
Long non-coding RNA from Orcinus orca (killer whale), 1125 nucleotides. RefSeq lists it as uncharacterized. The transcript is spliced from 3 exons. The record is from RefSeq and is a predicted model, not a curated record. NCBI's taxonomy places the organism in Eukaryota, Metazoa, Chordata, Mammalia, Artiodactyla, Delphinidae.